GUCCAUGUAGCUUAAAACAAAGCGAGGCACUGAAAAUGCCUAAAUGAGCCCAAAAACUCCGUAGACA
RNAcentral lists this transfer RNA (67 nucleotides) under Cabassous tatouay (greater naked-tailed armadillo). RNAcentral describes it as "tRNA-Phe". It matches the Rfam family "tRNA". From Rfam's summary of the family: Transfer RNA (tRNA) molecules are approximately 80 nucleotides in length. The record is from RNAcentral. Lineage: Eukaryota; Metazoa; Chordata; Mammalia; Cingulata; Chlamyphoridae.